AACGAACGCUGGCGGCAGGCCUAACACAUGCAAGUCGAGCGUGCCCUUCGGGGUGAGCGGCGGACGGGUGAGUAACGCGUGGGAACGUGCCCUUCUCUGCGGAAUAGCCUCGGGAAACUGAGAGUAAUACCGCAUACGCCCUUUGGGGGAAAGAUUUAUCGGGGAAGGAUCGGCCCGCGUUGGAUUAGGUAGUUGGUGGGGUAAUGGCCCACCAAGCCGACGAUCCAUAGCUGGUUUGAGAGGAUGAUCAGCCACACUGGGACUGAGACACGGCCCAGACUCCUACGGGAGGCAGCAGUGGGGAAUCUUAGACAAUGGGGGCAACCCUGAUCUAGCCAUGCCGCGUGAGUGAUGAAGGCCUUAGGGUUGUAAAGCUCUUUCAGCUGGGAAGAUAAUGACGGUACCAGCAGAAGAAGCCCCGGCUAACUCCGUGCCAGCCGCCGCCGUAA
This 449-nucleotide ribosomal RNA is filed under the name uncultured bacterium. RNAcentral describes it as "partial 16S ribosomal RNA". It matches the Rfam family "Bacterial small subunit ribosomal RNA", at positions 29 to 523 of the family's 1533-position model. The record is from RNAcentral.